Molecule: non-coding RNA, 3485 nt
Organism: Sus scrofa (pig)
Lineage: Eukaryota; Metazoa; Chordata; Mammalia; Artiodactyla; Suidae
Source: RefSeq, a predicted model, not a curated record
AGCUUCGAUUUGACCCUCAGCCUGGGUUGUCGUGGGUGUGGCUGCAAAAAAAAAAAAAAAACAUUCAAGAAAAAGCUGAAGGCUUGGGCUAGCUGAUGGCAGGGAAGAAAGUGGGAAGGAUGAAAGAUACACGGGAAGCAGAGGGCAGCACUGCUGUGUUGCCUUUCCUGAGGGCGAUAUGUGGGCCAACCACCCAAAGAGAGUGUGGAGAGAGGGGCGCCAUUCCCUCUGUCCUGAGACAGAAGGUGAAUUGCAGGGCAAAAGAAGCUGUACAAAGGGACAUUAGGCAGUGAGGACCCCAAAUUAACCCAGAACCACAAUUGCAGUGACUUGAAUCACCAAAUCAAAGGAAGUAAAAAGUUUGAUGUGAACUCUAGAUCUGAAGGAACUGGAAUUACCUCAGAGAAUGUCUCAGAAUGAAUAGAAACAUCUUGAAGAACCAGGCUGAUGAGAGAAAUAUGUGGUGAUAGAGCCACUGUGUAGAAAACCACAGGGGCUUCUCCCUCUCCCUUCUAAGGAAUGGAGCCCUGUACCGAUGGGCUAUGGCCUCACGCUAUUAGAAGCCCCUGCCAUGUUGGGCACAGGCCCAGCAAAAGACACGAUGUUGGGGAGGGGCACAGGUCAGUGCAUGACCAGGAGUUUACCAACAGGUAAUUUAGCUUAUUUCAUCUCAGUUCAACAGGCUCCAUGCUAGGGCACUACCAAGAUGAGUGAGACACCAGGCCUGUCCACCAGGAGCUCUUAGACCAAAGGGGAGUUGCCAUGCCAACAAACCAAUAUGGAAAGUUUAGAAAUGGCUUGGUAGGCAUCAAGGAUCAUGCUGGGGAUGAGGUCAGGUACAGUUAAAAAAAGAAAGAAAAAAAAGAAAAAACAAGAGCAAAUGUGUUGGCUGUGGAAAUCAAUGACUCACAUGCAGAUCUUUGAUUAACAGACUUUAACUGAUCUUAUGGAACUUUUCAAACAUACGAAAACACUGAGUGAAUAUUAUACUGAACCUCAGGUGCCCCUCACAGAGCUGCUUCUUUGAUCUGUAACACACCUCUCCAUUACUUCUCCCUCUUUCCUCUCUUUUUCUGGAUUAUUUUAGAGCAAAUCCCAAACCUUAAAUGAUUUCAUCUAGAAAUACUUUGGUAUGUUAUCACCAAGAGAUAAGUGCUCAGGAGUGCACGUGUGUGCACAUUUUCUCUCUUUCUCUCUGUCUCUCUCUAAUCUGAAUUUUACAAAUAUUGUGGAGCAAAAGGGAGUAUUUACGUAAACCAUCCAAGAAUCUUUCACAAUAAAAGGGAGGCUGGCAUUGCUAUGCUAGCUGCAAGAGCCAGAAGCCAAAAACAAAACAAAACCAAAAACCACAGAGAGAGAGAGAGAAACAGACAGAGAGCGAGGCAGUGACAGCCACAGAAGUAACUGCUGUGGAAUUGGAGAAAGCAGUGAGAAGAGGAACUUCUGGAAGGAGAGUAGAAAAUGAAGACAACUUUCAGGAAAAUCUGGAACACAGAGGAGUGACUGACUCAAAUAUGAUGAAAAUAUAAUGGCGUUUUUCAUUGUAAUAACUACUGCAUGUAGCACUUCCCAGCUACAAAGUGUCCGCACGUACGUUUUCUCCUUUGAUCCUUACCAGGCAAGGGUGAGGAGCUGCUUUCUUUGGAUCAUCCAAAAACUUUGAGUUUCUGCUCUGAGACUGCACACAAGGUAUCAGCCCUCGUGUAUUUCUGGAGAGACUUUAACAGAUCAAAGGGAGCGUCUGCUUUCUCCCCAAGCACAUGUCUGCCGGGAGCCCUGCUUGUUGUGGAGCAAAGAUGGCUCAGCUCUGGCAGCCCAGUUUAUAUCCUUCUGACUCUGUGGAGAAACUUGCCUUUUUAAAAAAAAAAAUCAAACUUCAGAAGGAUCCAAAAACAUCAUCAGUCAUUGUAAAAAGGGUUUUAUUAUAUCUGCCAGAAGAGUUUGAUGGUGUUGGACUGUUGAUUAGUAUGUCGUCUCCUUUAGUAAUCCAAAAAAAAGUUGUUAAUAUUGGCAACAAAAACGAAUUGGUUUCACGAGCUUACCAGCAGUUUUGGAGGAUUUAUAGUUUGUCAGAAUGAACCAAGAAGGCAAACUGCUUUGGCUGGGCUGCAAUCCCCAAGUUGCCAGCCAAUCUGAUCAAUUUGGGACAGUGAAUUGACUUCCCUGUCAGUUUUGCUCAAUCUCAGCUCUGAACUUCCUGUUUCACUGGACACCAUCGCAGCUCAAAUCAACCCUGUUGUGGACAGAACUCCAGUGGUGACAUCUUGGAAAGAUGGAGAAAAUGGCAGGAUUGACUACUCUAAGCCCUGGAUCACUUCCAGAAGACAACUUCUGCAUGCAAGCCAACGACUCUAUUUUCACCAAGUUAAAAGUUCAAAAGACUUGCCCGGAAAGUCAGAACUUCUGUAGCUGGACAACUGGUGUUCCAGUGUGAUCAUGUCUGGCCUUUCAAUGUAAAAACUGAAGCACUUUGUAAAACCUGAAAACAGUUUAAGACAUUAAAAAGAUAGAUGCCUCCCCCACCAAAAAAGGAAUUUUCAUGCACUGUAGAAACCAUUCAGAGGCAAAACAUCACAUCCUAAUGAAUAUAAUAGGGUCUUGCAUCCCCCUCUUAUUUGAACACAACUCUCAUUGACUUAAAAGUGACAUUUCCAAACGGGCUGCAAGAAUGAUUUGUCCCCUAGACAAAGCAGACUGCAUUUGUUCUGGUAGAAUGGCUUCUCUUCUUUGUCUCCGGAUAAUUUGAUACAGCAUUCAUUCAUUCGAGUGUGACUCUCAUUUGAAAAUUUUCUCAAUGAGACCAUUUAAAAAAUAUUUUUUAAUCUGGAGCUUUCAUGACUUCCUCUAAGGCUUCUUUCAGCCUUUAGCCUUGUCCCUGUUAACUUAAUAGAACUGGCAAACAUUGACAUUUUGAAAUAAAAUUUUUCACAGUAAAUUUCAAUGCAAAACUGAUCAUUUCCCCUUAAAACUUUGUUUGGGCUAUGCAUGUGCAGAUUGCGCCUAGUUUUAGGACUAAUGAUUUUCUGAGUACUGCAAGAUGUUUUUUCCCCCAGAUAAAAUAGGUUAUCAGCCUUCAAACAUGGAAGAGGUCAAUUAAAUGACAUCUAGUGUCUUUCACACGCCUGAGGCUAUUUUAAGAGGAGAAGCAAAUCUCUGUGCAUUUAAAAACAGUGCCAUGGAAACAGUGCCAAGAGCUGCAGGUAACAUUAUUUCUCUCCUGGGAAAAGUGCACCACUGGGGGCCGGUCUCCUUUCUACCCACCUUCUCCAGUCUUCUGCACUUCCUGGCCCUUUAGGUCAGAAUUCCCAUAAAUUUCAGAGAACUGCCGUUUUCUCACAGCAGAGGUGAGAUGGGGAAGAGGAGACCCCAAAUCACAUCUUCAUUAACUCAAACAAAGCAGCCUUGCAGGGUUUACAGUUUAAGCCUAUGAAUCUUCUCCGUGAUGGUUCCCAUGUCUCUCAGAAUAAACAAUGUGGAAAGAAAAA